UCGAGCGCGCCUUUCGGGGUGAGCGGCGGACGGGUUAGUAACGCGUGGGAAUAUACCCUUUGGUACGGAAUAGCCUCUGGAAACGGAGAGUAAUACCGUAUGAGCCCUUCGGGGGAAAGAUUUAUCGCCAAAGGAUUAGCCCGCGUUAGAUUAGGUAGUUGGUGGGGUAAUGGCCUACCAAGCCUACGAUCUAUAGCUGGUUUUAGAGGAUGAUCAGCAACACUGGGACUGAGACACGGCCCAGACUCCUACGGGAGGCAGCAGUGGGGAAUCUUGGACAAUGGGCGCAAGCCUGAUCCAGCCAUGCCGCGUGAGUGAAGAAGGCCCUAGGGUCGUAAAGCUCUUUCGCCUGUGAAGAUAAUGACGGUAGCAGGUAAAGAAACCCCGGCUAACUCCGUGCCAGCAGCCGCGGUAAUACGGAGGGGGUUAGCGUUGUUCGGAAUUACUGGGCGUAAAGCGCACGUAGGCGGACUGGAAAGUUGGGGGUGAAAUCCCAGGGCUCAACCCUGGAACUGCCUCCAAAACUAUCAGUCUAGAGUUCGAGAGAGGUGAGUGGAAUUCCGAGUGUAGAGGUGAAAUUCGUAGAUAUUCGGAGGAACACCAGUGGCGAAGGCGGCUCACUGGCUCGAUACUGACGCUGAGGUGCGAAAGUGUGGGGAGCAAACAGGAUUAGAUACCCUGGUAGUCCACACCGUAAACGAUGAAUGCCAGUCGUCGGGUAGCAUGCUAUUCGGUGACACACCUAACGGAUUAAGCAUUCCGCCUGGGGAGUACGGUC
RNAcentral lists this ribosomal RNA (778 nucleotides) under Rhodobacteraceae bacterium Rg127. RNAcentral's name for it is "bacterial SSU rRNA". It matches the Rfam family "Bacterial small subunit ribosomal RNA", at positions 62 to 887 of the family's 1533-position model. The record is from RNAcentral. Lineage: Bacteria; Pseudomonadati; Pseudomonadota; Alphaproteobacteria; Rhodobacterales; Paracoccaceae.